CCUUGAUAUUUAUAGCAUAGUGGACCCACUCCAAAUCCAUUCCGAACUUGGUUGUUAAACGCUAUAGCGACAAUGAUACUUAAGAGGACACUCUUUGGGAAAGUAGUUCAAUAUCAGGG
This 119-nucleotide ribosomal RNA is filed under the name Dictyurus purpurascens. Lineage: Eukaryota; Rhodophyta; Florideophyceae; Ceramiales; Dasyaceae. The record is from RNAcentral.